This is a long non-coding RNA of Scomber scombrus (Atlantic mackerel), 409 nucleotides long. RefSeq lists it as uncharacterized. The record is from RefSeq and is a predicted model, not a curated record. NCBI's taxonomy places the organism in Eukaryota, Metazoa, Chordata, Actinopteri, Scombriformes, Scombridae. The transcript is spliced from 3 exons.
UGUAGGGGUUCUGUAGGAGGUUGUUAUGGUUCUUUGGGUUCUUCGGGGGGUUGUAACGGUUCUUUAGGUUCUUUAGAAGGUUUUAGGGGUUCUGUAGGAGGUUGUAUUGGUUCUUUAGUUUCUUUAGGUGGUUUUAGGGGUUCUGUAGGAGGUUGUAACAGUUCUUUAGGUUCUUUAGGAGGUUUUAGGGGUUCUGUAGGAGGUUGUAACGGUUCUUUAGGGUCUUCGGGGGGUUGUAACAGUUCUUUGUAGGGGUUCUGUAGGAGGUUGUAUUGGUUCUUUAGGUUCUUUAGGAGGUUUUAGGGGUUCUGUAGGAGGUUGUAAUGGUUCUUUAGGUUCUUUAGGAGGUUUUAGGGGUUCUUUAGGAGGUUUUAGGGGUUCCGUAGGAGGUUGUAACAGUUCUUUAGGA